GGAGAGAUGGCUGAGUGGCCGAAGGCGCUCGCUUGGAGUGCGAGUAUGGGGGUAACCCCAUCCAGGGUUCGAAUCCCUGUCUCUCCGCCA
Molecule: transfer RNA, 90 nt
Filed under: Candidatus Peregrinibacteria bacterium CG_4_10_14_0_2_um_filter_43_11
Lineage: Bacteria; Candidatus Peregrinibacteriota
Description: tRNA-Ser
Rfam family: tRNA
About the family: Transfer RNA (tRNA) molecules are approximately 80 nucleotides in length.
Source: RNAcentral